GGUCUAAUGGUCUAGUGGUAUGAUUGUCGCUUCGGGUUUCUUUUCCCGGAUUCUUUAGAGUCUUCUAAUGUGACAGGCCCCGGGUUCAAAUCCCGGUUAGACCC
Pseudovirgaria hyperparasitica is the source of this 104-nucleotide non-coding RNA. Lineage: Eukaryota; Fungi; Ascomycota; Dothideomycetes; Acrospermales; Acrospermaceae. The record is from the annotation of a RefSeq genome assembly.